Molecule: long non-coding RNA, 1399 nt
Organism: Gasterosteus aculeatus aculeatus (three-spined stickleback)
Lineage: Eukaryota; Metazoa; Chordata; Actinopteri; Perciformes; Gasterosteidae
Source: Ensembl
GGGGGGUCACACUGGACCGAUCUCUUUGUUGUGUUUGUCUAUUUUCAUUGUGGGGUGCAGUUUUUAUUCACAUUAUUUGUCAAUGGAGUAAAAAAAAUAGCAUUCGCUGCACAGCCGUAGUGUCGACGUCCACGAAAUAAACUGCGCAAACCUACAAUAUAAACUAAAUGGCAAUAUAUGCAUAAAUGUUUAUAUAUUUUAAUAUGACGUUGGUGGUACUUGCAGUAGAACACACUGUGGAAAUACCCAAUAUACAAGGGGGGUUGACCGUGCACAAUGUACCGGGGUCUCUACGGUAACGAGGUGCGUGGCAGCCAUGGCAACGUGCUCCGCCACACGGUCAGCAAGUGUGCGGCUGCUGCUGCACGCUCCGUUACUCCUCGGGUAUGUAAGAGGACGGUGUGCAAAUAGCAGCGUGUCGUCCAAAUAACCAAAAAAAACCUUUUGAUUGGCGACCCCCCAGUCCGGUGUGAGGAUGACGUAAUGCAUCGAGAUUGUGGCAGGCCUCAAGGUAAUCUCAAGGUAAUGGUAAUCGUGUGAUUCUGUCAUAUUGGAUUAAAACGUCCAAAGUAUAACGUAUACAGUAUGCAUAUGAAGUCAAAGUUAAUAAUAAUAAACAGGGCGUGCUUUUGUUGCGUCUCAACCACAGUUGCUAUGUCUGAAAUGAAAGGUCACCAACCACAAGUGUUUUUUUGUGUAAUGGUUAGGCCACAAUUUAGUUAUAGCUAAUUAUAUGAUGAUUUUUAGUCAGUAAACCCUUUUUCUGUAACAUUGAUUCCCGCAGUCCUAAUUUCUCAUGGUUGAUGACCAUUCUAGGAAAUGAUUUUGUUAACCGUAACAAUUUAAUACCAUUAAAGGGAUCAUGAUGGAAAGGUUACAGUGAGCUCGCGCUUGGCACUCCACACAUAAUAUAAGUCCAUUUAGUAUAAUUCUUUUUGUAAUAUUGGGCUGUCUUUUUAUAUCAAUUCAUCAUAUUGUUAUGACAAACUCCACAGAUUCAUGUUUUCAUACAAUCUUACAAACUAAUCUGACCAAAAUGUUAUUCUGUGCUCCAUAAUACAGAUAUUAAUAUAAUGUAAUGCAAUUUAGAAAUGAAAGCAUUCUUUUUAUUAAAACUUACAAAAGCCCAGUGAGGCAAAUGUGUCUACAGAUGGCAACCAAAAUAAUAGUUAACGUAGAAAGUGUAUUUUUUUUAUUUCAAACUUUUUCUUACAUCCAGAAAGGUAUUCACCUCAUACCUAACUCCCUUCUCCCUCCCCAAUUACAUUGACAAAAACUACUGUUCAUGACAUGGAGUUCCUCUCAGGUCCCCUUGAUCGACGUGAGCUGCUAUAAGGUGAAUGUAGUUUUUGUGAAAGAUGAUGGAGAGUUAGCUGUAGAUGGGUCAGAAGAUAGAAAG